UUCAAUCUCAACUUUGUUUAUUCCUCCUAUAUUGUUGGUAGGGAUAGGGAAUGAGUACAAAUGGCCUUGGACUAUCUUUUGUUGGUUAGUUUCGUCUGGAGUGGGCUUGAGUGGUUAUUAGCUUUUUAGCAACGCUACAUCUCAGGUUCGAUUCCUAAUACUGAACUCUCCAAAAAAAUAAAUAAAUAAAUAAAUUCACAUAAAUUUUUAAACUGCAAUUUUAGAAUAAUCUCAAAGGUGUAUGUUGUUGAUUAAUGGCAUGCAAUAGUGAGGGUGAAUGUCUAGUGUUUUUUUGCUCUGUGGGUAGCUUUUAGGAAAUUAUUAAUAGGCGGUUUUGGGCUCUGGGCCGCCUAGGUGCUAAGGCGGCCACCUAAGCGGGGGCCUAGACCCAAAGGUGGUCUGUGUUGUGUUUUUUAAAAAAGGUUGGAUCCCCACACCUCGCCCCAUUUUAUUGUAUAUACUAUAUGAUAACAAUUACUCAUUAAUACUAUUUUUUUAUUACCAAUAAAUUAAUAAUUACGAAUUAAUACUAUUGUUUUGGUUUACCAAUGUGCGCAAUGUUCAAAAAAACGGAUUCGGGUGCCUAAGCGGUUUGGGUGCCUGACUGUCUAGGCAGUCAGGCGCCCGCCUAGGCGAGCGCCCAGGGACAGGGUGCCCUCACCAAAAUCAAGACACUCCCCACUCCAAUCAUAUAAAAUAGGGGAGUUCUUAGGGCAUAGUUUAUAGCCUUGGGGAGUUUUUAGCGCAUGGUUUAUGGCCUUAUGGAGUUUUUUGGGCAAUUUUAGAACUCCAAACUCCUCAUGAUCAUGAAAUAAACGAAAACAUGAUAAUACAUCAAUACAAUACUACAAUGAGGACAAUCACUUUACAUAUUUACGGAUGAGACAAUCAUACAAGUCUCAAGGAGAUUGUAUAAAAUAUUAAAAUGCUUGAAAUCCCAAAUGUCAUUGUAGGAACUAGGAAACUAGAAGUUCAUACUAGAAACGAAUCAACGCUAAAGUCAUACACAAGUCAACAAGGCAAAAUCAAAAAACAAAUACAUCAAGUCAUCAUUCAUCAACUAAACAACUCUAUGGCAUCAGCGGCGUCAUCACUCAGGGUGUUCAAUUUCAUCAUGAGGAGCAUCUGAUGAUGAUGUUGUUGCUAUGCCAUCAUCAUCAGAGUCAUCGCCCUCCUCAACAUAUUGAGUGUCAUCCCUUGUCUCCUUUAAAUCUACUUCUUCCUCUUCAUCAUCCACUCUUAAUGUCAAUGCCCUCUUCCCCUUCUUCCUCACUGCCUUCUCCUUCCCCUUCCCCUUCGUUUGCCUCUGACUCUGAGUUUGAGCACGUGUGGUAUGCGUAGGGGGCAUUGUUGUCCCAGCAGCCUCACGAACCUGGCCCGAGGUCAAGCCCUCUUCAAGGAAAACCUCAUCUUCACUGGCAUGGACCAUCCACUCGCAUGUGUCAUCAAUAUCAAAAGCUUCAACAGCAUCCCUUUGAUUGUGCUCCAGCUGAUGAUGGCGCUUUUGCAACUUUUGAUUAUACUGAACAAAGACUAGGUUAUUCAGUUGUUUUUGCUCUAGUUUGUUCCUCUUCUUUGUAUGCACCUAAUUAAAAAAAACUCACUUAGUUACUAACUUGCUAAGUACUAACUAGUCUACUAGACUAUUAUUAAGUAUGUAUGACAUUAACUUAAUAAGUAAUAUUACCAUUCAAACGUGCUAAAGUUGCGCUCACAUCCAAAAGAGCUGCAAGUCAUAUUUAGUAUUUUCAUGGCCAUCUACCUCAAACGAGGGGUGCUUCCAACAUGCGCCUAUUUCAUGUAAAUGUAAAAUUGUGAAUAUAGUAAUUUAGUAAAUUAGGAAUCUAGCCAUCUGGUUAAUUGAAAUUAAAUACUCAAAUUGAAGAAGUUCUAAACUUACCAGGAGAGCCUUAUCCUGCACUUUAGGGUCAGGGUUGAGCUUCACAUUGCACUGGUUAAAGGCUUCCAUGAACUCAGCCAUGCUAUGUACUUCAACAUCGGUGUAAAAGUGAGUAGGGUAAGUGUAGGAGCCUCUCAAGCUGGGAGUUCCAUUUGUCUUCAAUAAUCUCCAAAAAAGGCCCAUACCUCUUUCCUGCUGUCCACAAGUUGUCAUGGGGCGGCGCUUAGGUGGCUGCCUAGACAAUAGCGCCUACGCGAGCGCUCAGAAGUAAAACGCCUUAUGCACCCACCCAGGCUACGUCUACGUGUUUGAAAUUUUUUUUGACUAGGCGUUCGGGCAGCCGAAUUUUCGAACAUUGGAUGUGCGUCAUAUGACCUGUCAAUGGUGCAUUAUCGCGUAAAUAUAAAAAUCGUGCAUACCAAUCUCUCUUUGAGUGAAGUUUGAAGGGGUUGCAUAACACCAUAAAAAUAUCAUUUUACUGUAACGACCUGCCAAUGGUGAUAAAAUGUCAAAGAGAAUUUCAAAGACAUUAUUCUUGUUUACAUAUAACACUUGGGUUUUUGAAUUUGGGAAAAGUUAGACAUAUGAUUCAAUGGAAUUUACUCCCAAUGCAAUACAAUGGAUAAGCGAACUUCAAGAACCUCAAUCCUAAUGACUUCUUGAAGACCCAUAAGGACGCAUGGGCAAUAUAUCGUUACAUUGUUAUGACUGAUGGUUGGAGUUACAAGAGAAAUAGAAGCAUUAUGAAUUUGUUUGUGAAUUGUCCAUUAAGGACCAUGUUCUUGAGGUCUAUUGAUGCUUCUAAUAAGUCCCAUAAUACGGCCUUUAUUUAUGAUUUGGUAGACAAGUGCAUAGAGGAGAAUAAAGUGGUCCAUGUAGUGACCGAUAUGUACUCUGCCCAUAUGGCAGCCGCUAGGUUAUUGAUGGAGAGGAGGCCUCAUAUUUUCGACUCACCUUGCGUAACAAACUGCAUAGAACUCAUAUUUGAAGCGAUUGGUAAGAGGAAAUCAAUGAAGAUAACCAUGAAAAAAGUGAAGACUGUCACAAUCUAUUUAUACAGUCACAUUUAGGAAAAAACUUGAGGUUUAACCAUGUUAAUGCUUUGUUGUUACUUAUUUUGAUUCUUUUGAAUGCAUAUAUGUUUUGUGAUGUCAUUAUUGUUACAUGUAAAUAACGAAUUAAUAGUUACGAAUAAAUUAUGAUAUUUUCAAGGCGGCUUCUAGGUGCGCCCACCUUUUACAUCGCCUAGGCGGGCACCUUAGGCACCUAGUUCUUGCGCCUAAUAGCGUUCACCUUAAGAAUGCCUACCCGUUUUCUCCAAAAAGCCGCCUUGGCAGUCGGGCGGACGAUUUUUGUAUCAUUGUUCAUGGUAAAAAGAAUUCCUCAAGAAACCAAUCUUGAUACAUAUAUAGAGGAAUUGAUGUUAAUUUAUCAAAUUCCGCUAUUUUUAAACUCCCAUUGAAAAUCGUGUAAGAUACUUCAAAUUCAAUUUCUGGUCUUUCGAGGCUUUAUUGAUAUUUAUUAUUACUCCCUAAAUCCAGGGCCCCAAUUUGCAGAUUCUGAGAGGACCAUGCUUCCACUGUGCUACUCUGAUUCGAUUGCCCUAAAUCUCCUAAAUGUUCUACUUCUUGGUAUCUUCUAGAUCUUCAUUUUUUUUUAGUUAGAGGUCUGUUCAACGACGAAAUCUUGUUCAUCAUCAAAAAUAGGACUUUCAUCGAAGAUGGGAUCUUCUAGUUCCUUAUAAAAAAUGCGAUCACUAUAAAAGAUAUGAGGACUAUUAAGGAUAGGACUUUCUAUUGAUUCCAAGAAUAUUAAAUCCAAUCGAAGAUUAGAUUCUUUUUGUUCGUCUUCAAAACUAUGUUCCCGUCAAUGUUGUGGAAACCAUUUGUAAUUUAAUACGCCAUCAGUCUGUUCCCACUCAGACUUGGACUCUGAUUCCCGCCAUUCUCCAGAAGCUUCAUGAUUUGGAUAUACCCUAGUAGAUUUCUCUUCAUUUAGGGCAUGUUGUUACUGGCCUCGCUCGCACGGCAAUAGCUCUAUAACCCUCUCUCUCAAGUUAUUGAUUUCCAUGUGCAGUUGGAUCAGAUUGGUAUCAAUGUAGUUAAAGCCUCCAUGACCAGCCAUCGCAAUCUCUAACCAUCUUCGUGUCAUGCUCUAAUACCACUUGAUGCAAGAAGGAAAGGUGGAAAAUUAAAUCCACCGUUUUCCUUAACCUUAAACAUGUAAAAAAACAAUAAUAGAGAAAGAACAUGGUUGUAAAUCAAGCCAAGAAAAAAAUAACUUUAUUUUUUCCUAAAAUAAUAUCCAUUCAAAUAACAUAAGUAUCCCUAAAUUUGACAUCCAACCUUUUAUAAGCCUAUGAAACCCAAGUAAACAAUUAAGACUCUAAACUAACCCUAAACAAUAUUAAAAUUUUAAAAUGCCUUUAUGAGUUGUAAUGUAUGAACAAUACCUAUGAACAGUAAUUAUGAAUGGUACUCGUGAAUAGUAAAUAAAGAAAAUAUAAAAAAUCCUAGAAUCCCAAAAAACUUACAAACUCUUAAUCCUUGGAAAACUAAAAGACCCUAAAAACAAUAUCCUAAAAACUAAAAUUAAAAUAUGUCUCUUGAAAUUAAACAAGAAAUUAAAAACUAGAAUAAUUUUUGUCCUGCAUCAAAAGGUAUGGGGAAUAUUUGAACAUUAUUGAAGAGAAAUGGAACUACCAACUUGAGAAGCCCCUACGUCAGUAAGGUACUACCUUAGCCUUGCUCACUUUUGUAUCGAUCACGAGGUACAAAGUAAGACCGAAUUCAUGGAAGCUUUCAACAAUGCAAUAUGAAACUCAACCCUGAUCCCAAAGUCCAGGACAAGGUAAUGACGGACUUAGAAAAGUAUAGGCUCUAUAUUAGGUCUCUUGGUAAGGGGUUGGCAAUAAGGCAUUGGACCAAGAUCUUUGCUGAUGAGUUUUGAACGUCAUCUUGAUUUCAUGAUUUGAAUAUUGAACUUCAACAAGUAGUCACUCAUUUCUUUUAGAAAUUAUGUACCAGCUCAACCCCGGCUUGGGCUGAGACUGAUCAACAUCAGUUUAUAUGCUCUGGCCAAAGAGCGGGCCCAAUGGCUGAAGCAGCCUCUUUCCAUCUCGAGAAAUACACAAGGGUGAUUAAAUAUCUCCUGCGUGGCAAGGCUCCAGGCCACACAGGUUUCCAGUGGCUCUGUUCCUGCAAUUCUUGGAUACCUUAGCCCAAGAUGUACUGUCGUUUUUCUUAGACUGCUUUCAUAGAGGGAUCAUCACGAGGGGAUGAAUUCCAAUUUCAUUGCCCUUGUGCCUAUGAUAGAAGGAGCAAUGGAGUUCAAAGACUUUAGGCACAUUAUCCUGCUCAACCAUUCCUACAAAAUUCUCUUUUAGAGUGUUGGCACUAGACUAAGGAAAGUUCUCGAUAGUGUUCUCUCUCCUAACCAAGGCACUUUCAUCAAAGGACUAACAAAUCUUCGAUGGGUCUCUGAUCACACAUGAAUGUGUUCAUGCAAGACACCAAUAUAUUGUUCCUGGCUUGGUCUCAAAAUUAGAUUGAGUUAAAGCUUACGACUAUGUCAAUUGGGAGUUGCUAGACCAGUUCCUCAACUGUAUGAGCUUCAGUUAGAAUUGGAGAUCCUGGAUCUCUGGGUGUAUUGCAUCAGUUUCUUUAUCAGUCUUGAUCAAUUGGAGUCCUCGCAGCAGCUAUUCCCCCCCCCCCCCCCUCCUUAUCUAAAUUGAGCAGUAUGAAUGGACUCUCACAUAUCCUUUUAUUCUGCUUUUUGUUUCUCCCUUUCUUUCUCAUAUCCUUUUAGUCUGGUUUUUGUCUAAUGUUAAGAGACUUCAGCACAUAAUGAGAACUUCCUUUGGUCAGGGGAACACAGAAAACAUAAGUUUCAUGUAGUAAAGUGGGACACUGUUUCCAAAUCCAUUAGGUAUGGAGGAUUGCACAUUAGGUUCCUAAAGGAGAUGAAUAGGGCCCCGUGGGGAAAAUGGUGAUGGCACUUUGCAAUAUAGGAUGACUAACUUUGGAUGCUCGUUAUUCAAUGAUGGUAUGGUUACGAGGGCUUAGGCUUUUGCUAGAGAUUCAACCAUUGCAAGGGCCUGGGGGACUGGAAAGUAUCAUCUUUGCAUAUUUGCGCCAUUUCAUAUUCGGUUGAUGGCAGAAACUAAAGAUAAUAUUCAAAUGUGGAGACAUCAAUGAUUUUGGAAGCCCAAUUCCCUAUCAUCUUCCCAGUGGCAGCUGACCAAGGUUGUCAUGUCUCUGAUGUGAACAAAGUUCUCUUUAGGCACGCUGUUUAAUCCAAGGUUUAGAACAGAAUUGUCCAAUGAUGAAAUCCGAGGCCCGAUAACCUUGUUAUAACCCCUAAAUCAAGGUUCUUUUUGGCAUAACAUCUUUCUAUGAGCAGCUUUGGCCAAGUGAACUUCCCCUACCAUUGCCAGUGAGGUAUGGCUCUCCCCAGCCUGACCCAUAACCUAGGUUCUCGGUUGGUUAUUGAUAAGCAAAAAGGCCCUCAUGGUGGACCACAUCCAGCGUGGGGGAAUACACUUCACUGACAAAUACAGACGUAUCAUGAACAAAACCAAACUAGGAAUCAAUUGGGUUAGUAGGAUUUCUAUUUGUGCUUGUAGACUGAAGUCAGUGUUAGAAUUAUUUAUGAGCCCAUUGAACUGUACAAGAGUUCUGGUUAUGCUGUUGCUAUAAGUAAUCCAAAAGAGUAAAUAAAGGGGGAAAAAAAGUUCUUGGCUUUCCUUGUGGAACUUGCAUAAUAUCAACAAUUGAGUUUAUCAUUUGCCCACUAUUCAUGGAAAUGGGAAUGGAUUUUUAAAUAAUAUUAAUUUAUGGAAGUAUAUCUUAGGUUUUGUAAAGAAAUAUUGAUUUUACUUCUGGAAAUAAUCAUAGAAAAAAAAAAAAGAAGCAAAGCAAAGCCCUCUAACAUAGUUCUGAAGUAAAAAGAUGCAUUUUAUCUGUUUCCAAAAUGACUGGAACUCCUUGAAUAUUUUGUGGCCCUCAUUUCUAGCAGACAAGCAUUAAAAUAAUUAGUUUGUGUAUUUUCUUUAUCUGUGGAUGGAGGCCAGAAUCUAUGCAGUGAUUUUCUAUGUGGCCAAUAAUUCCCAUUGACACUUUUUUGUUUUUUUCCAAAACAGCUUUUCCUAGAUAAAUUCGACACUCAAGUUAUCCUUGAUUCGGUUUGAUAAAGUGGAUGUCACGCUUAGGCCGGAAUUAGAGGCUUCGGAUGAUGUCACUUUGGCAGCAAAGUUUGAGGAAGCAAAGGAGGAGGAGAAGCUCUUAAUCAACACAGAGGCUUCAGUGACAUGGUGGCAAAGAUUUGUUUUGAAUGCAUUACGGAGUGGGCUGGAAUUUUUGCUCUUGUUGUUCUUAGGGUUUUCACUUUCUUUUUUUUAUUAUGUGCAGGCUGAGAAAAAGAGGAAGCUCAAUAUGCAGGAAAAGGAAGGGAAAAGUAGAGGCAUUUCAAGUUUUAGGCACAAAGUUAUGCAUCAAAUUUGCAUUGCAGGAAUGCUCCCCCUCGCCCAUUGGAUAUAUUUUGUUUGGUGAAUAUAUUGUGAAUUCUCAGAUUCGAAGGAUCUGACACUUUGAAAGUUCUUAUUGACAUAUAUAAUGUGAAGUUCUUUGGUUGAUCUCGGGGCCACCUUGGGUCGAUUAAUGAAUGGACAGGACAGCUAGUUAUUUGAGAUAAAAGUGAUGUUUAAAGCCUGAA
Molecule: non-coding RNA, 7612 nt
Organism: Amborella trichopoda
Lineage: Eukaryota; Viridiplantae; Streptophyta; Magnoliopsida; Amborellales; Amborellaceae
Source: RefSeq, a predicted model, not a curated record